GGGGGUAUAGCUCAGUGGUAGAGUUUGUGCUUGGCGUGUGUGAGGUUCUGGGUUCAAACUCCAGUGCUUUCA
This 72-nucleotide transfer RNA is filed under the name Camelus bactrianus (Bactrian camel). It matches the Rfam family "tRNA". Rfam says of the family: Transfer RNA (tRNA) molecules are approximately 80 nucleotides in length. Their secondary structure includes four short double-helical elements and three loops (D, anti-codon, and T loops). Further hydrogen bonds mediate the characteristic L-shaped molecular structure. tRNAs have two regions of fundamental functional importance: the anti-codon, which is responsible for specific mRNA codon recognition, and the 3' end, to which the tRNAs corresponding amino acid is attached (by aminoacyl-tRNA synthetases). tRNAs cope with the degeneracy of the genetic code in two manners: having more than one tRNA (with a specific anti-codon) for a particular amino acid; and 'wobble' base-pairing, i.e. permitting non-standard base-pairing at the 3rd anti-codon position. RNAcentral also lists the same sequence under 1 other name. The record is from Rfam by way of RNAcentral. Lineage: Eukaryota; Metazoa; Chordata; Mammalia; Artiodactyla; Camelidae.